AGUGAACGCUGGCGGUAGGCCUAACACAUGCAAGUCGAACGGCAGCACAGGAGAGCUUGCUCUCUGGGUGGCGAGUGGCGGACGGGUGAGGAAUACAUCGGAAUCUACUCUGUCGUGGGGGAUAACGUAGGGAAACUUACGCUAAUACCGCAUACGACCUACGGGUGAAAGCAGGGGACCUUCGGGCCUUGCGCGAUUGAAUGAGCCGAUGUCGGAUUAGCUAGUUGGCGGGGUAAAGGCCCACCCAGGCGACGAUCCGUAGCUGGUCUGAGAGGAUGGUCAGCCAAACUGGAACUGAGACACGGUCCAGACUCCUACGGGAGGCAGCAGUGGGGAAUAUUGGACAAUGGGCGCAAGCCUGAUCCAGCCAUACCGCGUGGGUGAAGAAGGCCUUCGGGUUGUAAAGCCCUUUUGUUGGGAAAGAAAUCCAGCUGGCUAAUACCCGGUUGGGAUGACGGUACCCAAAGAAUAAGCACCGGCUAACUUCGUGCCAGCCGCCGCCGUAA
This 506-nucleotide ribosomal RNA is filed under the name uncultured bacterium. RNAcentral describes it as "partial 16S ribosomal RNA". It matches the Rfam family "Bacterial small subunit ribosomal RNA", at positions 29 to 523 of the family's 1533-position model. The record is from RNAcentral.